AAAAAAUUUUAUUUUUGUUUGAAAAUUUAUUUUUAAAUUAUUUUACAUAUAAAUUAUUUUAUUAAUUUAAUUUAAAUUUAAAAAAUUUAAAUUAUUGUUAUUAAUAAUAGUAGUAAUUUACAUUAAUAAUUAAAAGGAAUUUUGAUUUAGUAGUUUAUAUAAUAUUAGUAAAAAUUGUGCCAGCAACUGCGGUUAUACAAUUAAUGUGAAUAAAUUAUAUUAUUUAAAGUUAAAAUUUAUAAAAAAAAAUUAAAAAUUUAUUUAUUAAGUUAAAUUUUAAAUUAAUUUAUAUUUAUUAUUUAGAAUUUUUUAAGCUUAAAAAUUUUAUAAAAAACUAGGAUUAGAUACCCUAUUAUAAAAAUGUAAUAAAUUAAAUAGAUUAGUAUUAGUUAUGAUCUUAAAAAUUAAUAAAUUUGGCGGUAUUUUAUUCUAUUCAGAGGAAUUUGUUUUAUAAUUGAUAAUACCCAUUAAAUCUUACUUAAUUUAUUAAAAUAUGUAUAUCGUCGUCAUAAGAAUAUCUUAUAAGAGUUUAUAAUAUUCUAAAAUUUUAAUUAAUAAUGAUGUCAGAUCAAGGUGCAGUUUAUAAUUAAGAAAAAAUGAAUUACAAUAAAUUUAUUUAUUAUGGAUAAUUAAUUUAAAUAUUAAUUUAAAGGUGGAUUUGAUAGUAAAUUUAUAAAUAUAGAUAAAUUGAUUUUAGUUUUAAAAUAUGCACAUAUCGCCCGUCGCUUUCAUUAAUAAAUGAGAUAAGUCGUAACAUAGUAAAAGUACUGGAAAGUGUUUUUAGAUUCAG
Molecule: non-coding RNA, 790 nt
Filed under: Trichosia splendens
Lineage: Eukaryota; Metazoa; Arthropoda; Insecta; Diptera; Sciaridae
Source: RNAcentral